GGGGACACAGACAUUCUGUCUAGCAGUUCCCACGUGAGCCUCUGUUUCCUUGAGCUUUACCACAAGUGAACUCAACUUGGGAGCUUCCCACCAGCUGGAGAGCUCCUUACUGAACUGCAGCGGGCUUCCUCAGACGGAAGAAAAACACUCUGCAACACCCGAGGAGGACAAGGAGAAACUGAGGCAGCAUGAGUUAGGGAUGGUGGGGGAGUAUUCUUGCAUCAACAGGGGCUGGAGCAGAAGACCCCUGAGGUCCCUUCCAGUCCUGCCAGCGCUUGCUGCUUUUGGAUGUCAGCCUCUGGAAAACCAUAGCAGGGAUUCCUCACACACCAGGCAGUGUGAGAGACUCUGCAGCAUCUCACUGAGGUGUAGAAACGACCCAUAAAGUAGGUUUCUCGGAUCUACAUGUCCCCAUGGAAACUGCACGGUGUACUCCCAGGGCAGCAGUUCACAGAGG
RNAcentral lists this long non-coding RNA (457 nucleotides) under Equus caballus (horse). Its description in RNAcentral is "lncRNA (ENSECAG00000044216.1)". Lineage: Eukaryota; Metazoa; Chordata; Mammalia; Perissodactyla; Equidae. The record is from RNAcentral.